GCUGGGCAUGGUGGCGCGUGCCUGUAAUCCCAGCUACUAGGGGGGCUGAGGCAGGAGGAUCGCUUGAACCCAGGAGGUGGAGGUUGCAGUGAGCUGAGAUUGUACCAUUGCACUCCAGCCUGGGCAACAGAGCGAGAGUCUGUCUCAA
Molecule: non-coding RNA, 148 nt
Organism: Homo sapiens (human)
Lineage: Eukaryota; Metazoa; Chordata; Mammalia; Primates; Hominidae
Rfam family: Metazoan signal recognition particle RNA
About the family: The signal recognition particle (SRP) is a universally conserved ribonucleoprotein. It is involved in the co-translational targeting of proteins to membranes.
Source: Rfam